Molecule: ribosomal RNA, 252 nt
Filed under: Phascolarctobacterium succinatutens YIT 12067
Lineage: Bacteria; Bacillati; Bacillota; Negativicutes; Acidaminococcales; Acidaminococcaceae
Description: partial 16S ribosomal RNA
Rfam family: Bacterial small subunit ribosomal RNA
Source: RNAcentral
UACGUAGGUGGCAAGCGUUGUCCGGAAUUAUUGGGCGUAAAGAGCAUGUAGGCGGUUUUUUAAGUCUGGAGUGAAAAUGCGGGGCUCAACCCCGUAUGGCUCUGGAUACUGGAAGACUUGAGUGCAGUAGAGGAAAGGGGAAUUCCCAGUGUAGCGGUGAAAUGCGUAGAUAUUGGGAGGAACACCAGUGGCGAAGGCGCCUUUCUGGACUGUGUCUGACGCUGAGAUGCGAAAGCCAGGGUAGCGAACGGG